AUUCCAGCUCCAAUAGCGUAUAUUAAAGUUGUUGCGGUUAAAAAGCUCGUAGUUGGAUCUCUGCAUGGAAGGAGCGGUCCACCCUUUGGGUGAGUUACUGCUACCUUUUGUGCAUCUUCCUGAGAAGGCGUUCUUCACUUCAUUGUGAGGCCGCAUGACUCAGGACGUUUACUUUGAGGAAAUGAGAGUGUUUCAAGCAGGCAAAUGCCUUGAAUACGUUAGCAUGGAAUAAUAGCAUCGGACCAUCGUCCAGCUGUUGGUGUCUGGGCGAAGGUAAAGGUGAAUAGGGAUUGUUGGGGGCAUUCGUAUUUAACUGUCAGAGGUGAAAUUCUUGGAUUUGUUGAAGACGGACUACUGCGAAAGCAUCUGCCAAAGAUGUUCUCAUUG
This 387-nucleotide ribosomal RNA is filed under the name Syndiniales sp. RNAcentral describes it as "partial small subunit ribosomal RNA". It matches the Rfam family "Eukaryotic small subunit ribosomal RNA", at positions 582 to 975 of the family's 1831-position model. The record is from RNAcentral. Lineage: Eukaryota; Dinophyceae; Syndiniales.